AUACGGAGGGUGCGAGCGUUAAUCGGAAUUACUGGGCGUAAAGCGCGCGUAGGCGGUUUGCUCAGUCGGAUGUGAAAGCCCAGGGCUCAACCUUGGAACUGCAUACGAUACUGGCAAACUAGAGUGUGAGAGAGGAUAGUGGAAUUUCCGGUGUAGCGGUGAAAUGCGUAGAUAUCGGAAGGAACAUCAGUGGCGAAGGCGACUGUCUGGCUCAACACUGACGCUGAGGUGCGAAAGCGUGGGUAGCAAACAGGAUUAGAAACCCUAGUAGUCC
This 274-nucleotide ribosomal RNA is filed under the name uncultured bacterium. RNAcentral's name for it is "partial 16S ribosomal RNA". It matches the Rfam family "Bacterial small subunit ribosomal RNA", at positions 523 to 796 of the family's 1533-position model. The record is from RNAcentral.